This 337-nucleotide unclassified non-coding RNA is filed under the name soil metagenome. RNAcentral's name for it is "partial contains 5.8S ribosomal RNA, internal transcribed spacer 2, and large subunit ribosomal RNA". The stretch from base 1 to 120 matches the Rfam family "5.8S ribosomal RNA", at positions 35 to 154 of the family's 154-position model. The record is from RNAcentral.
GAUGAAGAACGUAGCGAAAUGCGAUAAGUAAUGCGAAUUGCAGAAUUCAGUGAAUCAUCGAAUCUUUGAACGCACAUUGCGCCCCUUGGUAUUCCGAGGGGCAUGCCUGUUCGAGCGUCAUUACACCACUCAAGCUAUGCUUGGUAUUGGGCGUCGUCCUUAGUUGGGCGCGCCUUAAAGACCUCGGCGAGGCCACUCCGGCUUUAGGCGUAGUAGAAUUUAUUCGAACGUCUGUCAAAGGAGAGGAACUCUGCCGACUGAAACCUUUAUUUUUCUAGGUUGACCUCGGAUCAGGUAGGGAUACCCGCUGAACUUAAGCAUAUCAAUAAGCGGAGGA